UAAAAACCCCGACUUCGGAAGGGGUGUAUUUAUUAGAUACAAAACCAAUGCCCUUCGGGGCUCUUUGGUGAUUCAUGAUAACUAUACGAAUCGCACGGCCUUGCGCCGGCGAUGGUUCAUUCAAAUUUCUUCCCUAUCAACUUUCGAUGUUUGGGUAUUGGCCAAACAUGGUUGCAACGGGUAACGGAGGGUUAGGGCUCGACCCCGGAGAAGGAGCCUGAGAAACGGCUACUACAUCCAAGGAAGGCAGCAGGCGCGCAAAUUACCCAAUCCCGACUCGGGGAGGUAGUGACAAUAAAUACUGAUACAGGGCCCUUUCGGGCCUUGUAAUUGGAAUGAGUACAAUUUAAAUCCCUUAACGAGGAACAAUUGGAGGGCAAGUCUGGUGCCAGCAGCCGCGGUAAUUCCAGCUCCAAUAGCGUAUAUUAAAGUUGUUGUGGUUAAAAAGCUCGUAGUUGAACCUUGGGCCUGGCUGGCCGGUCCGCCUCACCGCGUGCACUGGUCCGGCCGGGCCUUUCCCUCUGUGGAACCCCAUACCCUUCACUGGGCGUGGCGGGGAAACAGGACAUCUACUUU
RNAcentral lists this ribosomal RNA (576 nucleotides) under uncultured eukaryote. RNAcentral's name for it is "SSU rRNA". It matches the Rfam family "Eukaryotic small subunit ribosomal RNA", at positions 174 to 758 of the family's 1831-position model. The record is from RNAcentral.